RNAcentral lists this ribosomal RNA (287 nucleotides) under uncultured Cloacibacterium sp. Its description in RNAcentral is "partial 16S ribosomal RNA". It matches the Rfam family "Bacterial small subunit ribosomal RNA", at positions 390 to 674 of the family's 1533-position model. Lineage: Bacteria; Pseudomonadati; Bacteroidota; Flavobacteriia; Flavobacteriales; Weeksellaceae. The record is from RNAcentral.
AGCCAUCCCGCGUGAAGGACGACUGCCCUAUGGGUUGUAAACUUCUUUUGUAUAGGGAUAAACCUACCCUCGUGAGGGUAGCUGAAGGUACUAUACGAAUAAGCACCGGCUAACUCCGUGCCAGCAGCCGCGGUAAUACGGAGGGUGCAAGCGUUAUCCGGAUUUAUUGGGUUUAAAGGGUCCGUAGGCGGACUUAUAAGUCAGUGGUGAAAGCCUGUCGCUUAACGAUAGAACUGCCAUUGAUACUGUAAGUCUUGAGUAUAUUUGAGGUAGCUGGAAUAAGUAGU